CCCUUAGAUGUUCUGGGCCGCACGCGUGCUACACUGAGUGGAUCAGCGGGUCAGGUUGCGCGAAAGUGUUUCCUAAUCUUGAAACCCGCUCGUGAUGGGGAUUGACGGUUGCAAUUUUCCGUCAUGAACGAGGAAUACCUUGUAAGCGCGGGUCAUCAUCCCGCGCUGAAUACGUCCCUGCCCUUUGUACACACCGCCCGUCGCUCCUACCGAUUGAGUGGUCCGGUGAGGCUUUGGGAUCUGAGCAAAGAGAGCGUUUCGCUCGUUUUGCCCGGAAAACUCAGUCGAACCUUAUCAUUUAGAGGAAGGAGAAGUCGUAACA
Molecule: ribosomal RNA, 322 nt
Filed under: uncultured eukaryote
Lineage: Eukaryota
Description: partial 18S ribosomal RNA
Rfam family: Eukaryotic small subunit ribosomal RNA
Source: RNAcentral